Molecule: ribosomal RNA, 497 nt
Filed under: uncultured bacterium
Lineage: Bacteria
Description: partial 16S ribosomal RNA
Rfam family: Bacterial small subunit ribosomal RNA
Source: RNAcentral
GAUGAACGCUGGCGGCGUGCCUAAUACAUGCAAGUCGAGCGAACGGACGAGAAGCUUGCUUCUCUGAUGUUAGCGGCGGACGGGUGAGUAACACGUGGAUAACCCACCUAUAAGACUGGGAUAACUUCGGGAAACCGGAGCUAAUACCGGAUAAUAUUUUGAACCGCAUGGUUCAAAAGUGAAAGACGGUCUUGCUGUCACUUAUAGAUGGAUCCGCGCUGCAUUAGCUAGUUGGUAGGGUAACGGCUUACCAAGGCAACGAUGCAUAGCCGACCUGAGAGGGUGAUCGGCCACACUGGAACUGAGACACGGUCCAGACUCCUACGGGAGGCAGCAGUAGGGAAUCUUCCGCAAUGGGCGAAAGCCUGACGGAGCAACGCCGCGUGAGUGAUGAAGGUCUUCGGAUCGUAAAACCCUGUUAUUAGGGAAGAACAUAUGUGUAAGUAACUGUGCACAUCUUGACGGUACCUAAUCAGAAAGCCACGGCUAACUACGUG